This 500-nucleotide ribosomal RNA is filed under the name uncultured bacterium. RNAcentral's name for it is "partial 16S ribosomal RNA". It matches the Rfam family "Bacterial small subunit ribosomal RNA", at positions 30 to 523 of the family's 1533-position model. The record is from RNAcentral.
AUUGAACGCUGGCGGAAUGCUUUACACAUGCAAGUCGAACGGCAGCACGGACUUCGGUCUGGUGGCGAGUGGCGAACGGGUGAGUAAUGUAUCGGAACGUGCCCAGUCGUGGGGGAUAACGUAGUGAAAAUUACGCUAAUACCGCAUACGAUCUAUGGAUGAAAGCGGGGGAUCGCAAGACCUCGCGCGAUUGAAGCGGCCGAUAUCAGAUUAGGUAGUUGGUGGGGUAAAGGCCCACCAAGCUAACGAUCUGUAGCUGGUCUGAGAGGACGACCAGCCACACUGGAACUGAGACCGGGUCCAGACUCCUACGGGAGGCAGCAGUGGGGAAUUUUGGACAAUGGGCGAAAGCCUGAUCCAGCCAUUCCGCGUGCAGGAUGAAGGCCCUCGGGUUGUAAACUGCUUUUGUACAGAACGAAAAGGUUUCUACUAAUACUAGGAGCUCAUGACGGUACUGUAAGAAUAAGCACCGGCUAACUACGUGCCAGCAGCCGCCGUAA